This 389-nucleotide ribosomal RNA is filed under the name uncultured bacterium. RNAcentral's name for it is "bacterial SSU rRNA". It matches the Rfam family "Bacterial small subunit ribosomal RNA", at positions 29 to 446 of the family's 1533-position model. The record is from RNAcentral.
AAUGAACGCUGGCGGCAGGCCUAACACAUGCAAGUCGAACGGAUCCUUCGGGAUUAGUGGCGGACGGGUGAGUAACGCGUGGGAACAUACCCUUUGGUACGGAAUAGCCUCGGGAAACUGGGAGUAAUACCGUAUGUGCUCUUCGGAGGAAAGAUUUAUCGCCAAAGGAUUGGCCCGCGUUGGAUUUAGGUAGUUGGUGGGGUAAUGGCCUACCAAGCCGACGAUCCAUAGCUGGUUUGAGAGGAUGAUCAGCCACACUGGGACUGAGACACGGCCCAGACUCCUACGGGAGGCAGCAGUGGGAAUCUUAGACAAUGGGGGAAACCCUGAUCUAGCCAUGCCGCGUGAUCGAUGAAGGCCUUAGGGUGUAAAGAUCUUUCAGUGGGGAA